RNAcentral lists this ribosomal RNA (326 nucleotides) under uncultured bacterium. Its description in RNAcentral is "bacterial SSU rRNA". It matches the Rfam family "Bacterial small subunit ribosomal RNA", at positions 28 to 334 of the family's 1533-position model. The record is from RNAcentral.
GAUGAACGCUGGCGGCGUGCUUAACACAUGCAAGUCGAACGAAGCACUGAAAGCAGAUUACUUCGGUAGGAAGCUAUCUUUGACUGAGUGGCGGACGGGUGAGUAACGCGUGGGUAACCUGCCUCAUACAGGGGGAUAACAGUUAGAAAUGACUGCUAAUACCGCAUAAGCGCACGGGACUGCAUGGUCCAGUGUGAAAAACUCCGGUGGUAUGAGAUGGACCCGCGUCUGAUUAGCUAGUUGGUGGGGUAAGGGCUCACCAAGGCGACGAUCAGUAGCCGGCCUGAGAGGGUGACCGGCCACAUUGGGACUGAGACACGGCCCAA